Macrobrachium nipponense is the source of this 380-nucleotide long non-coding RNA. RefSeq lists it as uncharacterized. NCBI's taxonomy places the organism in Eukaryota, Metazoa, Arthropoda, Malacostraca, Decapoda, Palaemonidae. The transcript has 4 exons. The record is from RefSeq and is a predicted model, not a curated record.
CUUCGCUGGCAUUGUGCUGCUCCUGCAGAGGUCCGGUAAAGUUACCUCCGGGUAUUGUUCGUCUUCCGACGGGGCAAGAUCAAAGCAAGCUGACUGACGGACUUACGGUCGUCUCAAAACGGGGGUGGGGGCGGGGCCAACAUUCUCCAAGACGAAAUGAAAAAAUAAGGCCUAAGGAAGGUAUCAGACACACACGGUGUUCAUGUUGUGUGAUUUACCACGUGGCCAUCAACAACAUAUGAGGAGACUGCGUCCUUCAACAUAAUGGCUGUCUGGGUGAAAGGUCAGUGGAGAGGAUGAUGGAAACUCUUUCCCAAGAAGUUUUUCCACACCCAAUUUAAGUCUUCUCUAAAAUAAAAAUAAAAAAUAAAGUUCUUUCU